This 676-nucleotide ribosomal RNA is filed under the name Euplectrus phthorimaeae. RNAcentral's name for it is "partial large subunit ribosomal RNA". It matches the Rfam family "Eukaryotic large subunit ribosomal RNA", at positions 378 to 821 of the family's 3401-position model. The record is from RNAcentral. Lineage: Eukaryota; Metazoa; Arthropoda; Insecta; Hymenoptera; Eulophidae.
AGAGAGAGAGUUCAAGAGUACGUGAAACCGUUCAGGGGUAAACCUGAGAAACCCAAAAGAUCGAAUGGGGAGAUUCAUCGUCAGCGGCUCUGGCUUCCGUGCGGCGUGCGAUGGCGGGGACUUCGGUCUCGCGCCACGCCGUCGCUGCGGCAUGUCUGGAGUCGUCGUCGUGCACUUCUCCCCUAGUAGGACGUCGCGACCCGUUGGGUGUCGGAUCGAUGACCGGUCGGUCGUCUGUUGCGCUUGCGCUUCAGACCGAUUCGGUCGAAAGUCCGGCUGCCCGGCGGUAUUGAAAGUUUUAAUCUGGUAUCGGGCCGCAUCGAAUGCGUUCUGGCUCGUCGGCAGGCUCGUCUCGCUCGGAUUUACGGACCUAGUGCCGUUGCCGGGUGCUUGGCGCGGCUGUUAGUCGAUGAUGUCCUCGAACUGGCUCUUACCGGUCGGCGACGCUACUGCUUUGGGUACUUUCAGGACCCGUCUUGAAACACGGACCAAGGAGUCUAACAUGUGCGCGAGUCAUUGGGACUUUGAAGCCUAAAGGCGCAAUGAAAGUGAAGGUCGUCCUUAGUGUCGACCGAGGGAGGAUGGCUCGCGUCACGAUGCGAGCCCGCACUCCCGGGGCGUCUCGUGCUCAUUGCGAGCAGAGGCGCACCCAGAGCGUACACGUUGGGACCCGAAA